This 590-nucleotide long non-coding RNA is filed under the name Fukomys damarensis (Damara mole-rat). RNAcentral's name for it is "lncRNA (ENSFDAG00000033253.1)". Lineage: Eukaryota; Metazoa; Chordata; Mammalia; Rodentia; Bathyergidae. The record is from RNAcentral.
AUGAACUGGUCGUGGUCCAAGCCUGCAAUCCCAGCACCCAGGAGGAUGAAGCAGGAGAAUCCUUGUGAAUUCAGGGCCAGCCUGGGCUACUUAGCAAGACCCUGUUUCAAAAAACAAAAACAAAACAAAGCAACACAACAACAACGACAGCCUGGGGCAGAGCAGGAUUCACAUGACUCUGGGUCCGGCUGGUUGUGCAGAAAGCAAGAUCAGAAGCCCUCACUGCAGGUUCCGUGGACUGGCCUGCAGUUUGGAUCGGAGCUUGGGGCAUGCAGCGGCCAGCGUCUACGGUGAAAAGUGAAUGAGAGGCAGCCUCCCCGCCUGAUGAAUUAUGCGACGUGGAGACGCAGGAGGGCCGUGGGAGUAACCCGGCUCCUCCUUUCGGUCUUCUUGGCACCUCUGUGCCAGGAGGAGAUCGCUCCCUUCUCCUCGACCCUCCUCUGAGUUUGGACAGGAGCUCAAGAUAGACCUAAACGCAGCUCGCUGCGGCUCUGGACGCCCGGCCGGCGGCUGGGAGGGCCUUGACUAUCACAGCGCUGCUGCGAUCAGAGGCCACAGCAUUUGGCCAGGGCUACCACAUUUCAUGCCUG